RNAcentral lists this long non-coding RNA (1936 nucleotides) under Coffea arabica (coffee). Its description in RNAcentral is "long non-coding RNA (CARA_LNC004349)". Lineage: Eukaryota; Viridiplantae; Streptophyta; Magnoliopsida; Gentianales; Rubiaceae. The record is from RNAcentral.
GACAGCCUGCAAACAAAUUAUGGAAACUCAUAACUGAAUUUCACUUUGGGAUGGUAAGGAAGAAGAAGACGAGAGAAAGAAACCUCUCCAUUUGCCUUGGCUCCCUAGGGAACUCGAUGGUAAUUCCAUUUGUCCUGGAUCCCCUCCAAAUAUAAUUACACAAGGUCUUUUACAGCUUAACAAGAUAAAAUCUGAUUAAGAAAAAAGUUCGACAGUGGUCCUGAGACACGUAGAAAAGAAGAUAAUGGUAGGUAUGUCAUAGAGCAGACAAAAAGAGAUAAAGUGCAUACAUUUCCCAAAAAAAAAUGUUGAAUGGGGAAAAUUACAAAAUGAAGCUAAAUGAUGAACAUGAAGUUCAUGUGCCCAAAUUAUACAAAAGGUCCCUGAUAAUGCAAACAAAAUUCUGACCUAAACUCCUAACAGGAAAUAUGCAGGGUAAAAUCUCAAAUCAAGAGGAAGAGCAGAGGACAGUGGAGGGAAUGACAGGCUGUUAAGCAACCCAUAAAUGUUGUGCAUCUCACAUGAUUAUGGUAAAGAUACUUUGUCUUUUUCAUUAAAGGCUGAGAAUUAACUAGGUUAUGAUAAACCUUCAAGAUACAUUACUUGCAGAGUGUGAAGCUACUAUAAAAUUCCUCAGCAAGAAAGCCUAGUGGUUUGGAAGACAGAUGCGAAGUCCUCUCAUUUUGCUUCCUCUGGAGCACCCCACUCAUGAAAAUUCAAACAAUGACCCCAAAAGUAUUUUAUAUAAACUCUUAACAAACUUUUUUACAGUUUCCCCCAAUCACCCUAAAUAGACUACUGGCCUAUGGCUAUACAAAUCCUUGAUGAAUAAAGUCAUGAAAGAAAAGUCUAUUGGCUAGUAAUCAAGAUGCAUAGAAAACAUCAGCAAAAUUGCACCAAUUAAAUCCCAGUGUCAUCCACCUUGUACUGAUACCACAGAUGGUGUAUUUACCCUAUAUCAAAGCGACUAUUUUAUUUUCAACUUGAAGACAACGAAGAUUAACUGGAAAUAAAUAACAAUUUUGCAUUAGCAAGCUCCGGGAAUAUUUAACUAAGGUAUCAGUAGACCAAUACCAGUAAUGCAAAAGCCCCAGAAGAGAACAAACAGAUGAAAAUUUGUGCCGCUUCACCCAAGUUCCCAAACCCAAAUCCAGAAUACAUAUACUUCCACUUUGUAGUCAAAAGGAAAACAAAAUCAUCACCAACAGCAGAAUACACAUCUCAAUACCCAGUAUACAUAUCUAUGCUACAAAAGCUUACUUUACAAAAAGGGCCAAAUUUUUUCAUUCAAAAUCUUCUGCUCAGAAGCUUGAAACACUCUGGCAUUAUCCAAAACCGCAUAAAAACAUUUAGCACCUUGUAAGAAACAAAAGGUAGAAUAAAAACAUCGUACUAAUAUCAAAAAUUAAAACUUUACUCAACACAUAGAUCAAGACAGAACCAUGUUUAACAAAUUUACAUACAAAAAUUCAGUCUUUGCACAAAGUCAAUGAAAAUUGCACCACAAACAGAACCCACAAAGAAAAUAUGUUUAUACAUAAAGAAAAGGAAAAAAAUCUGCACUAAAAUAGACAGUGAGAGAGACAGAGAGAGAGAGAGAGAGAGUUGGAAUUUACCACUAAAAGCAGGGACGAAGACUUUACAACCGAAGUUGAAAUCUCAGCCAACAAAGCCACCAUUGCUGAGCUCAGAAGGCUUUCCAUGCCAACACUACUAGAGCACAUGACCUCCAUCUCCAACCCCAAAGCCCAAAUGCCAAGAGAGCAACAAAGCCUAGGUUUGGACAAUGAGGCCAAAGGCACGAGGGGCUCCGAACAUAAGGGUUGGAGGGAAAAUUCCUCUGAGUGAUCAGCAGAGAGAUUCCUCAAAACCCCCCAAAGAGUUUUUGCCAAAAUUGGAUUGGUAUCCAAUCAGAAUUCUACUUUUUUUUUUUGGC